RNAcentral lists this long non-coding RNA (1868 nucleotides) under Junco hyemalis (dark-eyed junco). Its description in RNAcentral is "lncRNA (ENSJHYG00000017403.1)". The record is from RNAcentral. Lineage: Eukaryota; Metazoa; Chordata; Aves; Passeriformes; Passerellidae.
CCCAGUUUUCCCAUUUUUAUCCCAUUUUUUCCUGCACAGACCCCUCUGAUCCCAAUUCUGAUCCCAAUUUUCCCUGCACGGACCCCUCUCAUCCCAAUUUUCCCGUUUUUAUCCCAUUUUUCCCUGCAGGGUCCCCUCUGAUCCCAUUUUUCCUUGCACAGACCCCUCUGAUCCAAAUUUUCCCAUUUUUAUCCCAUUUUUCCCUGCACAGACCCCUCUGAUCCCAAUUUUCCCAUUUUGAUCCCAUUUUCCCUACACAGACCCCUCUGAUCCCAUUUCUGACCCAAAUUUUCCCGUUUUGAUCCCGUUUUUCCCUGCAGGGAUCCUCCAUCCCCUUUGGAUGAUCCAGCCUGGAAUGAGCCAGGAUUCCUUUCCCUGCUGGCUGCAGGGGCUGGGAGGGGAAAUCCUGGGAUUCCCAAAUCCUGGGAUUCCCAAAUCCUGGGAUGUGGAUGGGAUUCCCAAAUCCUUGGGAAUAACUCCAGUGCCAGCUGUGAGCUCUGCUGGGGGAAAAUGAAUUCCUGUUCAUUCAUUCAUUCAUUCAUUCAUUCAUUCAUUCAUUCAUUCAUUCAUUCAUUCAUUCAUUCAUUCAUUCAUUCCCUAAAUGAACAAUUCCCUAAAUGAAUUCCCUGAAUGAACAAUUCCCUCAAUGAAUUCCCUGAAUGAACAAUUCCCCCAAUUAGCCAGCUCAGGGCUCAUUGGAGGCUCGGCAGCUCCUCGUUCAUUAGGGAAUGUUUGGGUUUUCCAGGAGCAUCCAGAGGCUUUGGAUCAGCACUGGGAAUGAGGAGAGGCCAGGCUGGGAUUGCCUGGGUCCCAAUCCCAGUCCCAUUCCCAUUCCAUUCCUUGUCCCAUCCCAUUCCCAGUCCUAAUCCCAGUCCCAAUCCCAUUCCCAUUUCCUGUCCCAUCCCAAUCCCAUUCCCAAUCCCAAUCCCAUUCCUGAUCCCAGUCCCAAUCCCAUUCCAUUCCCAUCUCAUUCCCAUCCCAUUCCCAAUCCCAUUCCCAUUCCUAAUCCCAUUCCAUUCCAAUCCCAUCCCAAUCCCAUUCCCAAUCCCAUUCCCAUUUCCUGUCCCAUCCCAAUCCCAUUCCCAAUCCCAUUCCCCUCCCAGUCCCAAUCCCAUCCCAAUCCCAUUCCCAAUCCCAUUCCAUUCCAAUCCAUUCCCAUCCCAAUCCCAUCCCAUUCCAUUCCCAAUCCCAUUCCCAUCCCAUCCCAAUCCCAUUCCCAAUCCCAAAUCCAUCCCAUUCCCAUCCCAAUCCCAUUCCCAAUCCCAGAUUUUGUUCCCCCUCCCUGGGGAUCCCAUGGGACACAGCAGGACUGGGUUCUGCCUGGAAGAAAAUUUGGGAAUUUUGGGAUUGAUUUUCCCCCUUUGGAGCUCUAUUCCCAAUGGCAGCUUGGGGCUGGGAUUCCAGGGAUUGGGAUUGGGAAUCCAGGGAUUGGGAUUGCAGGGAUUGGGAUUGCAGGGAUUGGGAUUGCAGGCCUGAAUCCCAGCUGCAAUUCCUGCAAUUCCUGGUGCACCUGGAGCUUUCUGAGCUGGGAUUCCCCUCCCCCUUCCAGGUUUUCCAUUUUUCCCAAUAAUCCUGGAAAAUCCCAGAGUUUUCCCACAAGAACCAAAUUCCUCCCGAAAUCCUGGGAUCCGGGCUGGGAAUGCUGAAUGAAUGCACGUUAUGGGGUUUUCGUUGGAAUUCUCAUUUAUUUAUUUAUUCAUUUAUUUAUUCAUUUAUUUAUUCAUUUAUUUAUUCAUUUAUUUAUUCCUCCCUCCUCUUUUUAUCCCCGAAAUCCCAAUCCCUGCUGUUCCCAUGCCCAGUUUUGGGCUGGGGUUCCAAAAUGGGAAAAUUGGAUUUCCUGGGAUUCCAAAAUGGGAAAAUUGGAUUUC